GCCAGCGUGGUGUAGUGACAUGUACAUGGCAAGGUUUCAAGAGCCAAGAUGUCGCUAGUUCAAUUCCAGCCGCCGGCA
Non-coding RNA from Colletotrichum sp. SAR11_240, 78 nucleotides. Lineage: Eukaryota; Fungi; Ascomycota; Sordariomycetes; Glomerellales; Glomerellaceae. The record is from the annotation of a GenBank genome assembly.